RNAcentral lists this transfer RNA (77 nucleotides) under Microcondylaea bonellii. Its description in RNAcentral is "Unio bonellii tRNA-His". The record is from RNAcentral. Lineage: Eukaryota; Metazoa; Mollusca; Bivalvia; Unionida; Unionidae.
GGCAAGGUAGUCUAAGAGUAAAGAAUAAGGCAGUAGGGUGUGGUCCUUCAGAUACAUCUUUAAAGGUGUCCUUGUUA